RNAcentral lists this unclassified non-coding RNA (366 nucleotides) under Hevea brasiliensis (rubber tree). Lineage: Eukaryota; Viridiplantae; Streptophyta; Magnoliopsida; Malpighiales; Euphorbiaceae. The record is from RNAcentral.
GGAAUCUUAAUGUAUUGUUCAUUCAUACGUACUUCAUUUUAUUUCAUUUAUGGGCCAGAGUAAACACAAGCUAUACCUAGGAUGUAGUUUAAGACUUUCAUCGGGUUUGCUGUGCAAUGAUCAGGAAUGACCUAAUGUCAUUACCUGAAUCUAGCUCACCUCUUGAUUAUCCUAUCCUAACACCUUCGGUAUCAUUCAUUUCUUUAUAUGAUUCAUUUGAGGCUGGCCUCAUUCAUUCAUUGGGAACUUUAACUUUAACCGACAUAGAUCAUGUGAGCAUCAUGAAAUCCAGUGUCUUCCCCACACCGAAAAGAGGUGGAAUCACUGUCCAAGGUGACCCAAAACAUGCUAGCGUACAUGGGAAUU